AUACUGGUCCCAGUGCCAUUCCCACUCCAAAACCAGUGUCACCCACAUUCCAUCCCCAUACUUUGCCUACGCUGGUCCCAGUGCCACUCUCAUACUGGUCCCAGUGCCACCCAUGAACCAGCCCCACUCCAGCCCCAUACUGGUCCCAGUGCCAUCCUUAUUCUGGUCCCAGUGCCUUUCUCACACUGGUCCCAGUGCCAUCCAUGUACCAUGCCCACACCAGCCCCAUACUGGUCCCAGUGCCACUCUCACACUGGUCCCAGUGCCACCCUUAUUCUGGUCCCAGUGCCAUCCAUGUACCAGCCCCAUGCUGGUCCCAGUCCCGUCCCCAUACUGGUCCCAGUGCCACCCUUAUUCUGGUCCCAGUGCCAUCCCUGUACCAUCCCCACACCAGCCCCAUACUGGUCCCAGUGCCACUCUCAUACUGGUCCCAGUGCCAUCCCCAUACUGGUCCCAGUACCUCCCUUAUUCUGGUCCCAGUGCCACCCAUGCACCAGCCCCACACCAGCCCCAUACUGGUCCCAGUGCUGUCCCCAUACUGGUCCCAGUGCCACUCUCACACUGGUCCCAGUGCCACCCUUGUUCUGGUCCCAGUGCCAUCCAUGGACCAUCCCCAUA
RNAcentral lists this long non-coding RNA (618 nucleotides) under Numida meleagris (helmeted guineafowl). RNAcentral describes it as "lncRNA (ENSNMEG00000003905.1)". The record is from RNAcentral. Lineage: Eukaryota; Metazoa; Chordata; Aves; Galliformes; Numididae.